CACGUAGGAGGCGAGCGUUGUCCGGAAUCAUUGGGCGUAAAGAGCGCGCAGGCGGCUUGGCAAGUCGGGUGUGAAAUCCCGGGGCUCAACCCCGUGACUGCAUUCGAUACUGUCAGGCUAGAGGUAGGUAGGGGAGAUCGGAAUUCCUGGUGUAGCGGUGAAAUGCGCAGAUAUCAGGAGGAACACCGGUGGCGAAGGCGGAUCUCUGGGCCUUACCUGACGCUGAGGCGCGAAAGCGUGGGGAGCAAACAGG
Molecule: ribosomal RNA, 253 nt
Filed under: uncultured bacterium
Lineage: Bacteria
Description: partial 16S ribosomal RNA
Rfam family: Bacterial small subunit ribosomal RNA
Source: RNAcentral